Molecule: ribosomal RNA, 253 nt
Filed under: uncultured bacterium
Lineage: Bacteria
Description: partial 16S ribosomal RNA
Rfam family: Bacterial small subunit ribosomal RNA
Source: RNAcentral
UACGUAGGGUGCGAGCGUUGUCCGGAAUUAUUGGGCGUAAAGGGCUCGUAGGCGGUUUGUCGCGUCGGGAGUGAAAACCAUGGGCUUAACUCAUGGCUUGCUUUCGAUACGGGCAGACUAGAGGUAUGCAGGGGAGAACGGAAUUCCUGGUGUAGCGGUGAAAUGCGCAGAUAUCAGGAGGAACACCGGUGGCGAAGGCGGUUCUCUGGGCAUUACCUGACGCUGAGGAGCGAAAGCAUGGGGAGCGAACAGG